AUGGCUUCUUCCGGUUCCGCGACGAGGCCACCGUGUGCUAACCGCGAGGACAUACCGGACAAGUGGACAAACGCCCAGUUGGAUAAGGUGAAGGAAAAAGAUAUGAGAACUCCAUCAUGUUGGUGUGGAGAUGUUUGCAAAGUCAAGGUAUCCACCAACCGCAAUAAAUCAUGGACGGAAGGAAGAAGAUAUUUUGUUUGUCCCAACUAUGCCUACAAUCGUCCUCGUCCGGCUCACGCCUAUGAUGUACCAAAGGUAAGUUGUUCAAGUUCAAAGAGUAUUCAAUCAUUGCUAUAA
This 297-nucleotide ribosomal RNA is filed under the name Triticum aestivum (bread wheat). Its description in RNAcentral is "partial small subunit ribosomal RNA". The record is from RNAcentral. Lineage: Eukaryota; Viridiplantae; Streptophyta; Magnoliopsida; Poales; Poaceae.